ACUCGAGUGGCGAACGGGUGAGUAGCACGUGGGUGAUCUGCCCUGCACUUCGGGAUAAGCCUGGGAAACUGGGUCUAAUACCGGAUAGGAGCCAUUUUUAGUGUGAUGGUUGGAAAGUUUUUCGGUGUAGGAUGAGCUCGCGGCCUAUCAGCUUGUUGGUGGGGUAAUGGCCUACCAAGGCGGCGACGGGUAGCCGGCCUGAGAGGGUGGACGGCCACAUUGGGACUGAGAUACGGCCCAG
Molecule: ribosomal RNA, 241 nt
Filed under: uncultured Actinomycetales bacterium
Lineage: Bacteria; Bacillati; Actinomycetota; Actinomycetes; Actinomycetales
Description: partial 16S ribosomal RNA
Rfam family: Bacterial small subunit ribosomal RNA
Source: RNAcentral